GGGCGGAUGGCGGAAUUGGUAGACGCACCACACUCAAAAUGUGGCGACCUUACGGUCGUGGGAGUUCGAGUCUCCCCCCGCCCA
Molecule: transfer RNA, 84 nt
Filed under: Symplocastrum torsivum CPER-KK1
Lineage: Bacteria; Bacillati; Cyanobacteriota; Cyanophyceae; Oscillatoriales; Microcoleaceae
Also listed under: 9 other names
Description: Phormidiaceae cyanobacterium CPER-KK1 tRNA
Rfam family: tRNA
About the family: Transfer RNA (tRNA) molecules are approximately 80 nucleotides in length. Their secondary structure includes four short double-helical elements and three loops (D, anti-codon, and T loops).
Source: Rfam by way of RNAcentral